This 281-nucleotide ribosomal RNA is filed under the name uncultured Alistipes sp. RNAcentral describes it as "partial 16S ribosomal RNA". It matches the Rfam family "Bacterial small subunit ribosomal RNA", at positions 65 to 339 of the family's 1533-position model. Lineage: Bacteria; Pseudomonadati; Bacteroidota; Bacteroidia; Bacteroidales; Rikenellaceae. The record is from RNAcentral.
AGGGGCAGCGGGAUUGAAGCUUGCUUCAAUUGCCGGCGACCGGCGCACGGGUGCGUAACGCGUAUGCAACCUACCCAUAACAGGGGGAUAACACUGAGAAAUCGGUACUAAUAUCCCAUAACAUCAUGAGGGGCAUCCUUCGUGGUUGAAAACUCCGGUGGUUAUGGAUGGGCAUGCGUUGUAUUAGCUGGUUGGUGAGGUAACGGCUCACCAAGGCGACGAUACAUAGGGGGACUGAGAGGUUAACCCCCACAUUGGUACUGAGACACGGACCAAACUCC